RNAcentral lists this ribosomal RNA (375 nucleotides) under uncultured bacterium. Its description in RNAcentral is "bacterial SSU rRNA". It matches the Rfam family "Bacterial small subunit ribosomal RNA", at positions 28 to 409 of the family's 1533-position model. The record is from RNAcentral.
GAUGAACGCUAGCGGCAGGCUUAACACAUGCAAGUCGAGGGGUAUGCUUCUUCGGAAGCAGAGACCGGCGCACGGGUGCGUAACGCGCAUGCAAUCUACCUUUUACAGAGGGAUAGCCCAGAGAAAUUUGGAUUAAUACCUCAUAGUAUUAUAGAAUGGCACCAUUUUAUAAUUAAAGUCACAACGGUAAAGAUGAGCAUGCGUCCCAUUAGCUAGUUGGAAGGUAACGGCUUACCAAGGCUACGAUGGGUAGGGGUCCUGAGAGGGAGAUCCCCCACACUGGUACUGAGACACGGACCAGACUCCUACGGGAGGCAGCAGUGAGGAAUAUUGGACAAUGGCGCAAGCCUGAUCCAGCCAUGCCGCGUGCAGGAU